CCGGUUUUCGAUUUGGUUUGACUGUUUUUUUAUACAAGUGAGAUCAUUUUGAAAGCUGAUU
Molecule: microRNA precursor, 61 nt
Filed under: Drosophila mojavensis
Lineage: Eukaryota; Metazoa; Arthropoda; Insecta; Diptera; Drosophilidae
Description: Dmo-Bantam_pre stem-loop
Rfam family: bantam microRNA precursor family
Source: RNAcentral